Molecule: unclassified non-coding RNA, 236 nt
Filed under: Lachnum virgineum
Lineage: Eukaryota; Fungi; Ascomycota; Leotiomycetes; Helotiales; Lachnaceae
Description: partial contains 5.8S ribosomal RNA, internal transcribed spacer 2, and large subunit ribosomal RNA
Source: RNAcentral
CGCACAUUGCGCCCCUUGGUAUUCCGGGGGGCAUGCCUGUUCGAGCGUCAUUUAUACCAAUCUAGCCUGGCUAGGUGUUGGGCGCCGCCGCCGGGCGGGCCUUAAAACUAGUGGCGGUGCUCUCAAGCUCUACGCGUAGUAAUCUUCUCGCUAUAGGGUCUUGGGAGAUGCUGGCCAGCAACCCCAAAUUUUUCUAGGUUGACCUCGGAUCAGGUAGGGCUACCCGCUGAACUUAA